CAGAGACAGAGACAGAGACAGAGGAACAGAGGAACAGACAGAGGGGGGAGAGAAAGAGGGAGAGAGAGAGAUCAUAUGGCUGCAGCUGCAUACACAUGGGAAUUAUAGAAGAACCUGGGAUGCUGGCCCUCACCUUCCGCCUUGCUUUGAGACAGCUCUUUGUGCUGACUUGUGAGCUUCCAUGGCUUCUCCUAUCCCUACCUCCCAUCUCACAAUAGGACCACGGAGAUUCCAGAGCCGCACUGCUGGGCCCAGCUUUUUGUCUGUUGGAGGUGAGGGUUGGACUUAGACCUUACGCUUGCACAGUAAACACUUUACCCCCUAGCCAUCUUCCUAGACCAGCUCCAGUCUCUUCAACAUUUUUUCACCAACAUUGGAGCGCAAACCUAGGACGUCAUACAACUAUCUUUUUUCCUGUGAGUAAUGAACCUGAGAGUCUAGUUACAGCUACAGACCUGAGUUGUCUAGCAACGAUACCUCUGAGCUACAUCCUCAGCCCACUAUCUUAUCUGCACAUUUUAAUACAAAAAGGUGGGGAGUGGGGAGUAUGAGGAAAGUGAAAGAUAAAUCAAGAAGAUACAAUAAGAAGACUGUCAGGACAAGAACUCCUUCUCUGUCCAGCUUGAAACUAACCCGAAGAGUACAAGUUUGACUUGGAAAACCUGUAGUCAUCAAUAACUUACACUUUAACCUCUAGACUCUGAAGCAAUAGCCAGGCUCAAGAAAACAUAGCCUUUGGGAGGAGAAUGCAGAAAGCAGGUGACCUAGCCUGGAGCUUUUACUGCUUUGGGGUCAAAUUCCAAGUCACCUCUUCCUACACGUUCUGCUUCAGGGAGGUCUUAACUAGUUUAAGCCUCAGUUUGUUCAGGUGUGGAUCGGGUACAAUAAGGCUCCCUAGCUCACCAAACUGUGUGUGGAUUAGAGAUGGUGUAUGUAUAAAGUAUAGUUAUAUGUAAACUUACAGUUCUAUCAACAUUGGCACGGAAGACUAAAAUUACCAGGUAUUUUUCAGUAAACUGUAUAGGGCAACAAUUUAACUUCCUCUUUGAUAAAAUAAAACUAAAAAGCAAGCCA
Long non-coding RNA from Mus musculus (house mouse), 1074 nucleotides. RefSeq annotates it as predicted gene, 41842. NCBI's taxonomy places the organism in Eukaryota, Metazoa, Chordata, Mammalia, Rodentia, Muridae. The transcript is spliced from 2 exons. The record is from RefSeq and is a predicted model, not a curated record.